CUCUACUAAAAAUACAAAAAAUUAGCUGGGCAUGGUGGGAUGGGGGGUGCCUGUAAUCCCAGCUACUAGGGAGGCUGAAGCAGGAGACUCGCUUGAACCCGGGCACUGGAGGUUGCAGUGAGCCAAGACUGUGCCAUUGCACUCCAGCCUGGACAGCAAGAGUGAAACUCCAUCUCAAAAAAUAAAAAAAUUUAAAAAAACAAGUGUUGGCAAGGAUGUAGAGAAAUUGGAACCUUUGUGCUUUGCUAGUGGGAAUGUAAAGUAGUGCAGCUGCUGUGGAAAAUCAUUAGUUUCUGAAAGUUAAAUAUAUAGUUACCAUGUGACUCAACACUCUGCCUGCAGACCUCCGCCUCCCAGGUUCAAGCGAUUCUCCUGCGUCAGCCUGCCAAGUAGCUGGGAUUACAGGCACCCGC
RNAcentral lists this long non-coding RNA (413 nucleotides) under Homo sapiens (human). RNAcentral's name for it is "HSALNT0196404". Lineage: Eukaryota; Metazoa; Chordata; Mammalia; Primates; Hominidae. The record is from RNAcentral.